Molecule: ribosomal RNA, 813 nt
Filed under: uncultured bacterium
Lineage: Bacteria
Description: bacterial SSU rRNA
Rfam family: Bacterial small subunit ribosomal RNA
Source: RNAcentral
CUGGGCGUAAAGCGUGCGCAGGCGGAUUGUUAAGCAAGACGUGAAAGCCCCGGGCUUAACCUGGGAAUGGCGUUUUGAACUGGCAGUCUAGAGUGCGUCAGAGGGGGGUGGAAUCCCACGUGUAGCAGUGAAAUGCGUAGAGAUGUGGAGGAACACCAAUGGCGAAGGCAGCCCCCUGGGAUGACACUGACGCUCAUGUACGAAAGCGUGGGUAGCAAACAGGAUUAGAUACCCUGGUAGUCCACGCCCUAAACGAUGUCAACUGGUUGUUGGGGGAGUGAAAUCCCUUAGUAACGAAGCUAACGCGUGAAGCUGACCGCCUGGGGAGUGCGGUCGCAAGAUUAAAACUCAAAGGAAUUGACGGGGACCCGCACAAGCGGUGGAUGAUGUGGAUUAAUUCGAUGCAACGCGAAAAACCUUACCUACCCUUGACACGUCCAGGAUCCUGCAGAGAUGCGGGAGUGCCCGAAAGGGAAUUGGAACACAGGUGCUGCAUGGCUGUCGUCAGCUCGUGUCGUGAGAUGUUGGGUUAAGUCCCGCAACGAGCGCAACCCUUAUCAUUAGUUGCUACGCAAGGGCACUCUAAUGAGACUGCCGGUGACAAAUCGGAGGAAGGUGGGGAUGACGUCAAGUCCUCAUGGCCCUUAUGGGUAGGGCUUCACACGUCAUACAAUGGUCGGUACAGAGGGUUGCCAAGCCGCGAGGUGGAGCCAAUCCCAGAAAGCCGAUCGUAGUCCGGAUUGUUCUCUGCAACUCGAGAGCAUGAAGUCGGAAUCGCUAGUAAUCGCGGAUCAGCAUGUCGCGGUGAAUACG